GGUACCGGGGGACAACAGUUGGAAACGACUGCUAAUACCGCAUAAGCGCACAGCAUCGCAUGAUGCAGUGUAGAAAAACUCCGGUGGUACAGGAUCGGACCCGCGUCUGAUUAGCUAGUUGGUGAGGUAACGGCUUACCAAGGCAACGAUCAGUAGCCGACUUGAGAGAGUGAUCGGCCACAUUGGGACUGAGACACGGACCCAAACUCCGUACGGGGAGGCAGCAGGUGGGGAAUAUUGCACAAUGGGGGAAACCCUGAUGCAGCGACGCCGCGUGAAGGAAGAAGUAUUUCGGUAUGUAAAGCUCUAUCAGCAGGGAAGAAAAUGACGGUACUUGACUAAGAAGCCCCGGCUAAAUACGUG
RNAcentral lists this ribosomal RNA (363 nucleotides) under uncultured bacterium. RNAcentral's name for it is "bacterial SSU rRNA". It matches the Rfam family "Bacterial small subunit ribosomal RNA", at positions 132 to 507 of the family's 1533-position model. The record is from RNAcentral.